This is a non-coding RNA of Cynocephalus volans (Philippine flying lemur), 234 nucleotides long. RefSeq annotates it as small Cajal body-specific RNA 7. The transcript has a single exon. The record is from RefSeq and is a predicted model, not a curated record. NCBI's taxonomy places the organism in Eukaryota, Metazoa, Chordata, Mammalia, Dermoptera, Cynocephalidae.
UGAAAAUGAUGAAAUAGAGAUAAUUGGGUGCUGAAUGUAAUUUGACUGGAAAUUUUUAAUAUGUAUGUUAAGUAAUUCUAAGUUUAAUAUUUUAUAGAUACAUAAUAGAGAGUGUGUGUGCAUGUGUGUGUGCUUGUGGUGGCUAAGAAAAGGGAACACUGACUGGUGAUGCUGAUGACGCACUGGUGAGUGCAUCAGAGCCUGUUGAAAAAAAAAUAACAGCUCAUCUCUCAU